GUUGUAUGGUUAAGUGACUAAGCGUACACGGUGGAUGCCUGGGCAGUCAGAGGCGAUGAAGGACGUACUAACUUGCGAUAAGCGCAGAUAAGGCAGUAAGAGCCGUUUGAGUCUGCGAUUUCCGAAUGGGGAAACCCAACUGCAUAAGCAGUUACUGUUAACUGAAUACAUAGGUUAACAGAGCAAACCGGGGGAACUGAAACAUCUAAGUACCCCGAGGAGAAGAAAUCAACCGAGAUUCCGGUAGUAGCGGCGAGCGAACCUGGAUUAGCCCUUAAGCACUCGGUGAAGUAGGUGAACAAGCUGGAAAGCUUGGCGAUACAGGGUGAUAGCCCCGUAACCGACGCUUCAUCGAGCGUGAAAUCGAGUAGGGCGGGACACGUGAUAUCCUGUCUGAAUAUGGGGGGACCAUCCUCCAAGGCUAAAUACUCCUGACUGACCGAUAGUGAACCAGUACCGUGAGGGAAAGGCGAAAAGAACCCCUGUGAGGGGAGUGAAAUAGAACCUGAAACCGUGUACGUACAAGCAGUAGGAGCACCUUCGUGGUGUGACUGCGUACCUUUUGUAUAAUGGGUCAGCGACUUAUAUUCAGUGGCAAGGUUAACCGUAUAGGGGAGCCGUAGCGAAAGCGAGUCUUAACUGGGCGCUCAGUCUCUGGAUAUAGACCCGAAACCGGGUGAUCUAGCCAUGGGCAGGUUGAAGGUUGAGUAACAUCAACUGGAGGACCGAACCGACUAAUGUUGAAAAAUUAGCGGAUGACUUGUGGCUAGGGGUGAAAGGCCAAUCAAACUCGGAGAUAGCUGGUUCUCCCCGAAAGCUAUUUAGGUAGCGCCUCGGACGAAUACUACUGGGGGUAGAGCACUGUUAAGGCUAGGGGGUCAUCCCGACUUACCAACCCUUUGCAAACUCCGAAUACCAGUAAGUACUAUCCGGGAGACACACGGCGGG
Molecule: ribosomal RNA, 948 nt
Filed under: Vibrio cholerae
Lineage: Bacteria; Pseudomonadati; Pseudomonadota; Gammaproteobacteria; Vibrionales; Vibrionaceae
Description: partial 23S ribosomal RNA
Rfam family: Bacterial large subunit ribosomal RNA
Source: RNAcentral